RNAcentral lists this ribosomal RNA (254 nucleotides) under uncultured bacterium. RNAcentral describes it as "partial 16S ribosomal RNA". It matches the Rfam family "Bacterial small subunit ribosomal RNA", at positions 524 to 776 of the family's 1533-position model. The record is from RNAcentral.
UACGGGGGGAGCAAGCGUUGUUCGGAUUUACUGGGCGUAAAGGGCGCGUAGGCGGUCAGCACAAGUCAGUUGUGAAAUCUCCGGGCUUAACUCGGAAAGGUCAACUGAUACUGUGCGACUAGAGUGCGGAAGGGGCAUCUGGAAUUCUCGGUGUAGCGGUGAAAUGCGUAGAUAUCGAGAGGAACACCGGCGGCGAAGGCGGGUUGCUGGGCCGACACUGACGCUGAUGCGCGAAAGCCAGGGGAGAGAACGGG